CGUGGGGCGGGCGGAAGCACCCGGCGGGGUGGGCGCGCCCGGCCUCUGGCCGCGAGUUGACUACUGCGGCGUGAGUCAGUGGCAGCGCCGGGACCCCGCGUCCCCGCGUGGAGUCUUCGCUCAGAACAGAGGCAGCUUCCACCCCAGUCCCUAGGUGUGGACACAUCAGGACAGGAACGAAUCAAACAGAGCAGGUUCCACCUUGGACCAAGAUGAGGAGCCAUUCAGAGUAGCUGCUGCCUCUGGAAAGGUCCCCAGUGUCCUGGGCAGCCCAGCGGGUCCGGACAGGGCCCUGCUGGCUGCCCUCUGCUAGCAGG
This 317-nucleotide long non-coding RNA is filed under the name Zalophus californianus (California sea lion). RNAcentral's name for it is "lncRNA (ENSZCAG00015022588.1)". The record is from RNAcentral. Lineage: Eukaryota; Metazoa; Chordata; Mammalia; Carnivora; Otariidae.